This 829-nucleotide ribosomal RNA is filed under the name uncultured bacterium. RNAcentral's name for it is "bacterial SSU rRNA". It matches the Rfam family "Bacterial small subunit ribosomal RNA", at positions 53 to 871 of the family's 1533-position model. The record is from RNAcentral.
ACAUGCAAGUCGAGCGGUAGCACAGGGGAGCUUGCUCCCUGGGUGACGAGCGGCGGACGGGUGAGUAAUGUCUGGGAAACUGCCUGAUGGAGGGGGAUAACUACUGGAAACGGUAGCUAAUACCGCAUAACGUCGCAAGACCAAAGAGGGGGACCUUCGGGCCUCUUGCCAUCAGAUGUGCCCAGAUGGGAUUAGCUAGUAGGUGGGGUAAUGGCUCACCUAGGCGACGAUCCCUAGCUGGUCUGAGAGGAUGACCAGCCACACUGGAACUGAGACACGGUCCAGACUCCUACGGGAGGCAGCAGUGGGGAAUAUUGCACAAUGGGCGCAAGCCUGAUGCAGCCAUGCCGCGUGUGUGAAGAAGGCCUUCGGGUUGUAAAGCACUUUCAGCGAGGAGGAAGGUGGUGAACUUAAUACGUUCAUCAAUUGACGUUACUCGCAGAAGAAGCACCGGCUAACUCCGUGCCAGCAGCCGCGGUAAUACGGAGGGUGCAAGCGUUAAUCGGAAUUACUGGGCGUAAAGCGCACGCAGGCGGUUUGUUAAGUCAGAUGUGAAAUCCCCGGGCUCAACCUGGGAACUGCAUUUGAAACUGGCAAGCUAGAGUCUCGUAGAGGGGGGUAGAAUUCCAGGUGUAGCGGUGAAAUGCGUAGAGAUCUGGAGGAAUACCCGGUGGCGAAGGCGGCUCCCCUGGACGAAGACUGACGCUCAGUGCGAAAGCGUGGGGAGCAAACAGGAUCUAGAUACUCCUGGUAGUCCACGCUGUAAACGAUGUCGAUUUGGAGGUUGUGCCUGAGGCGUGGCUUCCGAGCUAACGCGUUAAAUCGACCG